RNAcentral lists this ribosomal RNA (497 nucleotides) under uncultured bacterium. RNAcentral describes it as "partial 16S ribosomal RNA". It matches the Rfam family "Bacterial small subunit ribosomal RNA", at positions 28 to 507 of the family's 1533-position model. The record is from RNAcentral.
GAUGAACGCUGGCGGCGUGCCUAAUACAUGCAAGUCGAGCGAACAGACGAGGAGCUUGCUCCUCUGACGUUAGCGGCGGACGGGUGAGUAACACGUGGAUAACCUACCUAUAAGACUGGGAUGACUUCGGGAAACCGGAGCUAAUACCGGAUAAUAUAUUGAACCGCAUGGUUCAAUAGUGAAAGACGGUUUUGCUGUCACUUAUAGAUGGAUCCGCGCCGCAUUAGCUAGUUGGUAAGGUAACGGCUUACCAAGGCAACGAUGCGUAGCCGACCUGAGAGGGUGAUCGGCCACACUGGAACUGAGACACGGUCCAGACUCCUACGGGAGGCAGCAGUAGGGAAUCUUCCGCAAUGGGCGAAAGCCUGACGGAGCAACGCCGCGUGAGUGAUGAAGGUCUUCGGAUCGUAAAGCUCUGUUAUUAGGGAAGAACAAAUGUGUAAGAAACUAUGCACGUCUUGACGGUACCUAAUCAGAAAGCAACGGCUAACUACGUG